CUUGGUCAUUUAGAGGAAGUAAAAGUCGUAACGAGGUUUCCAUAGGUGAACCUGCGGAAGGAUCAUUAUUGAUUUCAGAUUGUCACCUUUUGUGCUGGCUUCGGCAUGUGCACACUGGUGACUUUCAUCCAACCCCUCUUGUGAACCUUUGACCUUGUGCUAUGCCUUUGGCUGGCAGAAGGAUUUAUUUACACACGUAAAAUGAAAUGAAAGUAUCUUGUUGUGUGCCCACAAGCACAAAUGUACAACUUUCAACAACGGAUCUCUUGGCUCUCGCAUCGAUGAAGAACGCAGCGAAAUGCGAUAAGUAAUGUGAAUUGCAGAAUCCAGUGAAUCAUCGAAUCUUUGAACGCACCUUGCACCCUUUGGUAUUCCAAAGGGUAUGCUCAUUUGAGUGUCAUUGUUACUCUCACACUCUCCGAUCGAGAGCAGUGGACUUGGGUGUUGCUGCUUCACUGUGGCUCACCUCAAAUUGGUUAGUGCAACUCAUGAUUGGAGAUAUAGUACAGCAUGAUAAAUGUCGUUGCUGGUGCUUUCUGAUCAGGAGUUGUGCUUCAAACAGUCUGUGGACAACUUCUGACGACUUGACCUCAAAUUGAGCAGGACUACCCGCUGAACUUAAGCAUAUCAAUAAGCGGAGGAAG
This 644-nucleotide ribosomal RNA is filed under the name uncultured Basidiomycota. RNAcentral describes it as "eukaryotic LSU rRNA". The stretch from base 247 to 400 matches the Rfam family "5.8S ribosomal RNA". Lineage: Eukaryota; Fungi; Basidiomycota. The record is from RNAcentral.